GACGAACGCUGGCGGCGUGCUUAACACAUGCAAGUCGAACGGAAAGGCCCUGCUUUUGUGGGGUGCUCGAGUGGCGAACGGGUGAGUAACACGUGAGUAACCUGCCCUUGACUUUGGGAUAACUUCAGGAAACUGGGGCUAAUACCGGAUAGGAGCUCCUGCUGCAUGGUGGGGGUUGGAAAGUUUCGGCGGUUGGGGAUGGACUCGCGGCUUAUCAGCUUGUUGGUGGGGUAGUGGCUUACCAAGGCUUUGACGGGUAGCCGGCCUGAGAGGGUGACCGGGGACAUUGGGACUGAGGUGCGGCCCAGAGUGCUGCGGGAGGCAGCGGGGGGGAAUGGUGCACAAGGGGCGGAAGCCUGAUGCAGCAACGCCGCGUGCGGGAUGACGGCCUUCGGGUUGUAAACCGCUUUCGCCUGUGACGAAGCGUGAGUGACGGUAAUGGGUAAAGAAGCACCGGCUAACUACGUG
RNAcentral lists this ribosomal RNA (468 nucleotides) under uncultured bacterium. Its description in RNAcentral is "partial 16S ribosomal RNA". It matches the Rfam family "Bacterial small subunit ribosomal RNA", at positions 28 to 507 of the family's 1533-position model. The record is from RNAcentral.